This 240-nucleotide unclassified non-coding RNA is filed under the name soil metagenome. Its description in RNAcentral is "partial contains 5.8S ribosomal RNA, internal transcribed spacer 2, and large subunit ribosomal RNA". The record is from RNAcentral.
AACGCACGAGACCUGCGGACCUGCGGAGGGAUCAUUACCGAGUUAUACAACUCCCAAACCCACUGUGAACCUUACCUCAGUUGCCUCGGCGGGAACGCCCCGGCCGCCUGCCCCCGCGCCGGCGCCGGACCCAGGCGCCCGCCGCAGGGACCCCAAACUCUCUUGCAUUACGCCCAGCGGGCGGAAUUUCUUCUCUGAGUUGCACAAGCAAAAACAAAUGAAUCAAAACUUUUAACAAUG